This is a long non-coding RNA of Phasianus colchicus (ring-necked pheasant), 321 nucleotides long. RefSeq lists it as uncharacterized. The record is from RefSeq and is a predicted model, not a curated record. Lineage: Eukaryota; Metazoa; Chordata; Aves; Galliformes; Phasianidae.
GAAAUUUGAAUGCUGCUGGGAGAGCUGCCAUUGUUCAGGGAUUGGCUGUGCAUCUGUGGUGUAUAGAAUGAAACAUAAUAUAAAAAUUCUUUCACUCUAUAUAAAAGCAGCACAAAUAAUGAUUCACACUGGGACCUAUUCCCAUAUCAGACUUCUGUGGAUCUGAAACAGCUUCAGGUUUUGUUUAUGUCUUCCUGACAGGACCCUCAUCUUUCUUUGGAUUCCUAGUACAUGGACUUCGUCGAGUUAAAAUGAUGACAUGACCUCACUGGCCAAAAAUCCAUUACUAAAUAAAAGAAAAUAUUUUCACCUGGAAAAACU